GACAGAGGAGCCAAGCGUUGUCCGGAUUGACUGGGCGUAAAGCGCACGCAGGCGGCCGUGCACGUGGGGUGUGAAAGCGCUCGGCUUAACUGAGCGAUGCCACCUCAUACGGCAGGGCUCGAGCCCGUGAGAGGUCCACGGAAUUGCUGGUGUAGCGGUGAAAUGCGUAGAGAUCAGCAGGAAUACCCGUGGCGAAGGCGGCCCCCUGGGCCGUACCUGACGCUGAGGCGCGAAGGCUGAGGGAGCGAACGGG
This 253-nucleotide ribosomal RNA is filed under the name uncultured bacterium. RNAcentral's name for it is "partial 16S ribosomal RNA". It matches the Rfam family "Bacterial small subunit ribosomal RNA", at positions 524 to 776 of the family's 1533-position model. The record is from RNAcentral.